CCUACGGGUGGCAGCAGUGAGGAAUAUUGGUCAAUGGGCGCGAGUCUGAACCAGCGAAGUAGCGUGAAGGAAGACUGCCCUACGGGUUGUAACCUUCUUUUAUAAAGGAAUAAAGUGAGGCACGUGUGCCUUUUUGUAUGUACUUUAUGAAUAAGGAACGGCUAACUCCGUGCCAGCAGCCGCGGUUAUACGGAGGAUCUGAGCGUUAUCCGGAUUUAUUGGGUUUAAAGGGAGCGUAGAUGGGUUGUUAAGUCAGUUGUGUAAGUUUGCGGCUCAACCGUAAAAUUGCGAUUGAUACUGGCAGUCUUGAGUACAGUAGAGGUAGGCGGAAUUCGUGGUGUAGCGGUGAAAUGCUUAGAUAUCACGAAGAACUCCGAUUGCGAAGGCAGCUUACUAAACUGCCACUGACAUUGAUGCUCGAAAGUGUGGGUAUCAAACAGGAUUAGAUACCCUAGUAGUC
This 460-nucleotide ribosomal RNA is filed under the name uncultured bacterium. RNAcentral describes it as "partial 16S ribosomal RNA". It matches the Rfam family "Bacterial small subunit ribosomal RNA", at positions 338 to 795 of the family's 1533-position model. The record is from RNAcentral.